UACGUAGGUGGCAAGCGUUGUUCGGAAUUACUGGGCGUAAAGGGCGCGUAGGCGGCCAACUAAGUCACACGUGAAAUCCCCAGGCUUAACCUGGGAACUGCGUGUGAUACUGGAUGGCUUGAAUUCGGGAGAGGGAUGCAGAAUUCCAGGUGUAGCGGUGAAAUGCGUAGAUAUCUGGAGGAAUCCCGGGGGCGAAGGCGGCAUCCGGGACGACAUUGACGCUGGGGCGCGAAAGCUAGGGGAGCAAACGGG
RNAcentral lists this ribosomal RNA (252 nucleotides) under uncultured bacterium. RNAcentral's name for it is "partial 16S ribosomal RNA". It matches the Rfam family "Bacterial small subunit ribosomal RNA", at positions 524 to 776 of the family's 1533-position model. The record is from RNAcentral.